GAUGAACGCUGGCGGCGUGCUUAACACAUGCAAGUCGAACGAUGAAGCCCAGCUUGCUGGGUGGAUUAGUGGCGAACGGGUGAGUAACACGUGAGUAACCUGCCCUUAACUCUGGGAUAAGCCUGGGAAACUGGGUCUAAUACCGGAUAGGAGCGUCCACCGCAUGGUGGGGGUUGGAAAGAUUUAGCGGUUUUGGAUGGACUCGCGGCCUAUCAGCUUGUUGGUGAGGUAAUGGCUCACCAAGGCGACGACGGGUAGCCGGCCUGAGAGGGUGACCGGCCACACUGGGACUGAGACACGGCCCAGACUCCUACGGGAGGCAGCAGUGGGGAAUAUUGCACAAUGGGCGCAAGCCUGAUGCAGCGACGCCGCGUGAGGGAUGACGGCCUUCGGGUUGUAAACCUCUUUCAGUAGGGAAGAAGCGAAAGUGACGGUACCUGCAGAAGAAGCACCGGCUAACUACGUG
RNAcentral lists this ribosomal RNA (466 nucleotides) under uncultured bacterium. Its description in RNAcentral is "partial 16S ribosomal RNA". It matches the Rfam family "Bacterial small subunit ribosomal RNA", at positions 28 to 507 of the family's 1533-position model. The record is from RNAcentral.